CACCAUAAAACCCAAAAGCAAAUAUUUCUUCCAAAUCAACAUCCGCCGGCUACUAAACACUUUAAGCAUCUGCAACUUCCGGUGACUCUCCCGCCGCCAGUAGCAACUCUUCCUCUUCAAGUCCAACCUUUCUUUCUCCCAUCUCUCCUUCAUCCCCAAUGCUGUUCGCCUCUCCCAAUGACUUUAGUGCCAAGUGUGCUGCCUUCUGCCCUGAUAUCAUCAUCGCCCCGAACGUUGGCCCCUAUGAAUGGCACAGUUUAAGACUAAUAAAUAUGGGUAUAACGAAAUCUUUCGGUGGUAGCAUCUAAUGCAGAUAGCUACCGGAGUAAACAAGUUAGUAGUGAUAGACCCAGAUAAACUCUGAAAAGUGUAAACUCAUCUAAAUGCUGCUAUAUUUUACUGUAUCAUGAUUAUUAAACGGUCUAAAGCAAUAAUCUCUCUCUAGUUAAUUUGUUUACCAUUCUUGGAGCUCCAUCGAUCUCCGCAACCUCCAUGCCGGUGACAAUCAUGCCAGGAACGACCUCUCGAGUGAAUCGAACAAUGGCAUCCUCAGCAGUGUUCAUGUCAAGGGCCUUCAUUCCCGGGACACUAUCAAUCAUGCCGAUGCUCUUGAGGCGCUUGACUCCGGUAGCGCCAAAAGGUCCAUCGUGGCCACAAGAGCUCACAACCACCUUAGCCUCCAUCACAUUGGGGUCCAUGCAGGACUGCGUGUCAUGGUUCAUUGACACAAGAGCCCAGUUGGUGACAACACCGCCAACUCUGCCGCCCUUGACAAUCAAAUCCUCUGCCGCCACGGCGUUGAACAGCUUCACGUUCGGCCGGGCCAAGAGCUUGCUCAUGAUCGUCGACGUGAACAGAGCCGCGUGCUUUAUCACGACAUAGUCGUCUUGCUCGUCAUACUCCACACCCACCUCAUCCAAGAACAAAUGAGCUGGCUUACGAACCACCUAUCAAACAUUAAAUUUAACCAACAUCAAUCAGAUGAACAAGAUCAGAAUAUUUGUCUGCGAUGAAAAUUAAUCUAAUUUUUUAGGGGAUCACAAGAUCUGUAAACUAUUUCCCCUCAAAUUAAUGAUUAUGAUAUUAGUUUCUGGGUUUCUUUAUUUCUGAUCUCUAUUAAAAAGAAAUGAUUUUUUUUAGUCCAAAUACGGCAUGCAUGAAAGCUGAUUGGGUGAUUUUCAAAAUUUUGGUAUUUUCAAGAAAAGAACAAAACAUAAAAUAAAAACAGAGCAUCCAUUCAAAUUUGGAAAGUGAACUUGUUACCAUAGCAGAGAAGAGUUGGCCGCCGAGCCAUGCACCGCCACCGGGGCUGACGGAUUGUUCGAUGAUGGCAAUACGAAUAUUGGGGUUUUUGCUGAGUUCGUAAGCGCAAGAGAGGCCGGCGGAGCCAGCGCCGACGAUGACAACGUCAGUAUCAGCGUAGGUGAUCAUAUCGGUCAUGUAUCGACGGGUCAUCUCUCGAGAGACAAUAGAUUCUCUGAUAGGGUUGAAUUUGAAUUGGUUUAAAUCGUAGGGAGGCUGAGAGGCGGAGGCAGAGAUGGUGAGGGACGUGGCGGCGGUGGAUUUGAGGCGGAGAGAAGAAGGAGAGGCGAGAGGUGUGCCAUGGAAAGAGGAAUCAUGAAGUAAAGAAGGUUUUUGGAGCUUGGUGGUGAGAGUGGAGGCAAUGGAAGCCAUUUUUGAAGCAGAGGAAAACAGAGGAGAUUGUAGUUUGGUGUGGGGAAGAAGAGGGGAAGGAAGAAGGGUUUUAUAGAGGAUAUUGAAGAAUGUAACAAUAUCUUACACGCUUGCAUGUAUGAUGCAUACAUUACCUAUGCAUGUAUUUCAAACAUUGAUGCAUAUAAUCGAGAUUUUCAUUUAUCCAUGUAUUUCUCUUUUUACUUUUUUUAACAUAUGAUAUAUUAAACAUAGGUUUAGCAAUAAGUAACUAAAAUUAGUGUUAUUGUAAUAAAAUUACAUUAAUUUUGAUCAUAUUUACUUACACAUUUUACAAAUGUCUUAUCCAAAUAGUUCACUUUAUGUUGUCUUCUUACUAUUGCUCUUAUUAUCAAGGGUCAACAUAUUUAUAAUUCUCUUCUUCUAAUAGUAACACCAUAAUAUCCCCUAAUGAGUUGCAUGUAAUUUCAAAUGCAUUUAGAGAUUGGUCAUCUUAUCUCUAUAAUUAGAUUGCAUUACAAAUUUGUUUGUGAGGACACCAUUUUUUCUACAAUUACAGAAUAAAUGUAAACAACAAACCUAAUUAAAUGAGACACCCUUUUCAAAUUCUCGUUUGAUUGGUUACAUUUUCCGAGUGUAUAGUCACUCUAAUUUUAUACUGUUGCAACCAAUCCAAAACCAAAUCAAAUUAAUUGACUUUAUUAAAUAGAGAACCAAAGAUGCCCAAUAGAAGAUAGAAUCUUUUUUUUUUUUUUUUUUUUUUUUUGGGUUUCUAACCAAUGGAGUCUUCUUUUCUUUCAACUUUUACUUUGAAUGGGUUACCUUUUUUUACCAUUUUUAUAGAUAAUUAUGAAAAAAGAAGUAUCCAUUGGCAUAAUAUUUGAGUUUAUUAUCACUACAGUUUUCAAGCGAUACGCUUUCUAUCCAAAUUGAAAUGGUUGGAUUUUGAUUGAUUUCUUGAUAAAAGUUCAAACCAAAAGAAUAAACUUUUUUAUUAUCUCUAAAUAAUAAAAAAAAAAAAACCCCAAUCAAAACAAGAAAUGAACUUGAUUGAAUUUGAAUUUGUUUUGUUUUUAUUUUCUUGAACUCGAGUGUAAGGAGUAUCCAAAAAUUAGGGUAAGAAAAGUUCAAAUAUUUGUUAAGUUGGGAAGAGAGAAAAUAUCUGGAAGGGGACACGUGGGAAGAAGAUAGGAAAUGAAGGGCUGAGAAUGAGGUGAUGGUGUUGGACACGCGGCAUCCAUGGCAGCCAUUUGUUAUUUCUUUUCUUUUUCUUUUGCCAAAAUGAGAUUUUUUUUUUUCUUUUUCCCAAUAAUAUGAUAUGUUUGUUGAUUUGCAAAAUAUGGAUUUGUGAUUGUGAAUCAUGAUAUGUCCGUUUCUUUCGUCAAGAUAUUUCACAUAAUCUUGUAAAAGAAAGAGAUGUUUAUAUAUAGGCCACUCAUUUUGCUUUUUACUCUUUAAACCAUUGCUACACAUUUUAAUGCGUCUUUUCAAAUAAUAAUAUUUAUGUUUAUUAAUCAUUGAUAUUUUUUUGUAUCUACUUUAAACAAGAUUAAGUAUAGAGAAAAUACAUUUACAUAAGGAAAUAUUUACAAAUUAGGAUCUAAAUGUAUUCUAUUUCCCUAAUUUAAACAACUAUAUAAUUUACGAUCACACUCUUUCUCAAACUCAAGGCGGUAAUGUAGCAAUCAACUUGAGUUUGUUAACCAAUUGAAGAAAAUGGCUAGAAGCCAAAGCUUUAAUGAAGAUAUCAACUGGUUGUUCAGUGUCGAAAUGGAGUGUAAGAGAAGAUUGGUGCUUCGAAGAUUAUGACAAACAAAAUGAUAAUCGUUUUUAAUAUGGUGGGUACUCUCGUGGAAGACAUCAUUGUGAACAAUAUGCAUGGUAUUAUAAUUAUGUCUUUAUACCCUUCUCUCGGCUCAAGCCUUUACCACACUCUUUUGUCAAGUUGCAGUUGUGCAGAGAAAUCUCAACGCACUUAGUAGUUACUAUGAAUUUCACUACGCAUAAUGUGUCUUCCAAUGCUAGAUCACAUAAAACGCAAAGGGUAUUCUAUACCAAAUCACAUAGUAGGUAUGAGAGACAUUUCAUACUAGAUCACACAACAAGUAUGAGUCAUCCUAUUCAAUAUCACACAAUAUGAAUAGGGCAUUAUACUCCAGAUCACACACUAGAAAUAGGGCAUCUCAUCUUAGAUCACACAGCAAGGACAAAACAUUCUAUCGCAUAGGGUACAAAAAUUAUCUUUUUCUAGGAAACAUUGAUUUCUCAUUUUCAUGUAAUACUAGCAUCAUCAAUAGCACAUGCCACAUAGUUUAACGUAAUUGCCUUAAAGGGACUUAAAGAGAUUGUUUUCAAGCAUUUCUUUUCAUUUGAAGGUUAUUCGAUAAGAUACUUUAUUAUGUACUCAAUCACCUUUUAUUAGUUUCAUAAUGAACCAAAUUCAUACAUAAGUCACACAUGUUUAUGGGAGUUGAAAAAGUAUAAGGAAAUCCAUGUAAACAAAUUUGUAAUAACGAUAGUUUUAAGGGUUCAAACAUAUUAGAAAUCCCUUUAUAUAUUUGAAAACAUUUGCAAGGGAGGAAAACCACUCACUGCUGCAGUGAGCUAGCUCUUCCUUCUAGCUUCCUUGACCAAGAGUUCUCCUGUGCUUUUCAGAUUCCUUGAAGGAAUGAGUUUUUCCUGCACCUUGAGACUUUGGUUAUCCUCCCCGUUCUCUCUUAAGAAACUUAAGGUAAAAACGUCUUCAGUUCGGUCUAAAAUCCUCAAUUUAUAUGUCUCUCUGGUGAAUUUUUUCAUGUCGAAAUGAUUACGCUUUACCGACGGUGAGGAGUGGCCUAAUCUCGAAAUGCCAUGUAUCUCUGUCCAAUCCUUAUCCUGAUCUAGAUUGGGUGGCGAGUCCAAUCAAUCAUCGACCUACUAACAUUAGGGUCACAUCACUGUUUCUUGAUGAGGUAGGUCAGAAUUGUCCAACUGUUCGACGCAUAACCUUCUUUGCAUGGGGACUUUCUAUUGCAUGAUCCUUUAGCGAGGCAUGGUUUACUAUCAGAAGUCUCUUUGCAAAACAUUCUUACCGCAAGGGAUUCCUUGUAUUGGGGGUACGCAAUCAGGGCCUUACACGCGAUUAGACAUUUUCCUUUAAAACACUAACCUUAUCUUCUUGGAGUGCUCAAUUCUUUAUCGCUUGACUCUCUUCUCGAAAAACAAUAGAACAUUUACUUUACCUCAUACGGUUGUCUAGUCAUCUCAUACAAACAUCCAUCCUUUCAAUAGAACACCUACUUCAUCGCAACAACACUUAGGUGCAAACACUUCUCCUCGAGUUACUACAUAGGACAUCUAGUUCUUUGCGUUAAAUGCAUGUUUCUUCUUUCCUAGCUAAUCAUCGCCUUGCUUCAAGGCAAUAGUUACUAUAAGUAUCUCUCGUUGUGUCACCUCUCCUUAAAGGCACCCUUCAUCGCAUAAUGCUUUUUACUUACAUUUAACUAAAAUGACUCUUAUUAACAGGGCUCCUCUUCAA
RNAcentral lists this long non-coding RNA (5170 nucleotides) under Cucumis sativus (cucumber). RNAcentral describes it as "long non-coding RNA (CSAT_LNC000878)". Lineage: Eukaryota; Viridiplantae; Streptophyta; Magnoliopsida; Cucurbitales; Cucurbitaceae. The record is from RNAcentral.